AAGUCGUAACAAGGUUUCCGUAGGUGAACCUGCGGAAGGAUCAUUAUUGAAUAAAAUUUGAACAAGCUGUUGCUGUCCCUUCCUUUCAGUUGGGUAUGUGCACGCUUGUCAUCUUUAUUUCUCCCCACUGUGCACAUAUUGUAGACCUGAGAGCUUUUGAAUUCAUUUUCGAGUUGGGACUGCUGCAACAAAAAACAAAGUUCAGCUUUGCCUUGCAUUUUUGGGUCUAUGUCAUCUUUACAAACCUCUAGAAUUGUUUGGAAUGUUGAAUGCAAAGGUCAUUUUGUACCUAUAAAGUUAUAUACAACUUUCAGCAACGGAUCUCUUGGCUCUCGCAUCGAUGAAGAACGCAGCGAAAUGCGAUAAGUAAUGUGAAUUGCAGAAUUCAGUGAAUCAUCGAAUCUUUGAACGCAUCUUGCGCUCCCUGGUAUUCCGAGGAGCAUGCCUGUUUGAGUGUCAUUUAAGUUCUCAACCACGAACAACUCUGUUGCAUCGUGGCUUGGAUGUGGGGGAUCAUAUUGCAGGCUUUCAAAGUCUGCUCCCCUGAAAUGCAUUAGUAGUAUCUGAGCAGAAACUACAAGGUGUGAUAAUUUAUCCAUUGCCUUUAGUAUGCUGCAAGAAAAAACCAGAUCACACUGCUUCCAACAACAAAAAAGUGGAUUUUAACCGACCACAUUUCGUUUUGAUAAAUUUGACCUCAAAUCAGGUAGGACUACCCGCUGAACUUAA
RNAcentral lists this ribosomal RNA (729 nucleotides) under uncultured Inocybe. RNAcentral describes it as "eukaryotic LSU rRNA". The stretch from base 306 to 459 matches the Rfam family "5.8S ribosomal RNA". Lineage: Eukaryota; Fungi; Basidiomycota; Agaricomycetes; Agaricales; Cortinariaceae. The record is from RNAcentral.